CUUGCUAACAUGACAUCAAAAGCUCUCCCACAUUCAUGAUCUGGUGUCUUCUGCUUGGGCAAUUAUUUCAACAGGACAAGUGACGGAAUUUUGGAAAAUGAUAAAUCCCCUCCACUGUCCACCAGAAAAAAAUUAAACCAAUGCUGUGGACUCCUUCAGGGAUUUACUUCUGAGAGAAACCUUCAAAUGUGAGCACAAGAUAAUUUUUUUUCCCUCCAUAGAAUCCUAAGCACUUCAGUUAAUUUUAAAGGAGUUCAUACCAGCUGGCUCAGUCAGUAGAGCAUGUGACUCUUGAUCUGCGCGUCAUGAGUUCAAGCCCCACUUUCAACAUAGGGCUUACAUAAAAAAAUAAAGUUCAUGUAAUUAUUGCACAUGGAA
Panthera uncia (snow leopard) is the source of this 378-nucleotide long non-coding RNA. RefSeq lists it as uncharacterized. Lineage: Eukaryota; Metazoa; Chordata; Mammalia; Carnivora; Felidae. The record is from RefSeq and is a predicted model, not a curated record. The transcript is spliced from 2 exons.